RNAcentral lists this ribosomal RNA (180 nucleotides) under uncultured Glomeromycotina. Its description in RNAcentral is "partial small subunit ribosomal RNA". The stretch from base 49 to 180 matches the Rfam family "Eukaryotic small subunit ribosomal RNA", at positions 696 to 830 of the family's 1831-position model. The record is from RNAcentral. Lineage: Eukaryota; Fungi; Glomeromycota.
GGCUUGGCUGGGCGGUCUGCCCUCGGGUAUGUACUGCUUGGCUGGGCCUUUCCUUCUAGGGAACCUUUGUGCUCUUUACUGAGUGCAUUGGGGAACUAGAGCUUUUACUUUGAAAAAAUUAGAGUGUUUAAAGCAGGCUUACGCUUGAAUACAUUAGCAUGGAAUAAUAGAAUAGGACUU